GAGUUUGAUCCAUGGCUCAGGACGAACGCUGGCGGCGUGCUUAACACAUGCAAGUCGAACGAUGAUGCCCAGCUUGCUGGGUGGAUUAGUGGCGAACGGGUGAGUAACACGUGAGUAACCUGCCCCUGACUCUGGGAUAAGCGUUGGAAACGACGUCUAAUACUGGAUAUGACUGCCGGCCGCAUGGUCUGGUGGUGGAAAGAUUUUUUGGUUGGGGAUGGACUCGCGGCCUAUCAGCUUGUUGGUGAGGUAAUGGCUCACCAAGGCGACGACGGGUAGCCGGCCUGAGAGGGUGACCGGCCACACUGGGACUGAGACACGGCCCAGACUCCUACGGGAGGCAGCAGUGGGGAAUAUUGCACAAUGGGCGAAAGCCUGAUGCAGCAACGCCGCGUGAGGGAUGACGGCCUUCGGGUUGUAAACCUCUUUUAGUAGGGAAGAAGCGUAAGUGACGGUACCUGCAGAAAAAGCACCGGCUAACUACGUGCCAGCAGCCGCGGUAAUACGUAGGGUGCAAGCGUUGUCCGGAAUUAUUGGGCGUAAAGAGCUCGUAGGCGGUUUGUCGCGUCUGCUGUGAAAUCCCGAGGCUCAACCUCGGGCUUGCAGUGGGUACGGGCAGACUAGAGUGCGGUAGGGGAGAUUGGAAUUCCUGGUGUAGCGGUGGAAUGCGCAGAUAUCAGGAGGAACACCGAUGGCGAAGGCAGAUCUCUGGGCCGUAACUGACGCUGAGGAGCGAAAGCGUGGGGAGCGAACAGGAUUAGAUACCCUGGUAGUCCACGCCGUAAACGUUGGGCGCUAGAUGUAGGGACCUUUCCACGGUUUCUGUGUCGUAGCUAACGCAUUAAGCGCCCCGCCUGGGGAGUACGGCCGCAAGGCUAAAACUCAAAGGAAUUGACGGGGGCCCGCACAAGCGGCGGAGCAUGCGGAUUAAUUCGAUGCAACGCGAAGAACCUUACCAAGGCUUGACAUACACCGGAAACGGCCAGAGAUGGUUGCCCCCUUGUGGUCGGUGUACAGGUGGUGCAUGGUUGUCGUCAGCUCGUGUCGUGAGAUGUUGGGUUAAGUCCCGCAACGAGCGCAACCCUCGUUCUAUGUUGCCAGCGCGUUAUGGCGGGGACUCAUAGGAGACUGCCGGGGUCAACUCGGAGGAAGGUGGGGAUGACGUCAAAUCAUCAUGCCCCUUAUGUCUUGGGCUUCACGCAUGCUACAAUGGCCGGUACAAAGGGCUGCGAUACCGUAAGGUGGAGCGAAUCCCAAAAAGCCGGUCUCAGUUCGGAUUGAGGUCUGCAACUCGACCUCAUGAAGUCGGAGUCGCUAGUAAUCGCAGAUCAGCAACGCUGCGGUGAAUACGUUCCCGGGCCUUGUACACACCGCCCGUCAAUU
This 1383-nucleotide ribosomal RNA is filed under the name Curtobacterium citreum. RNAcentral's name for it is "bacterial SSU rRNA". It matches the Rfam family "Bacterial small subunit ribosomal RNA". The record is from RNAcentral. Lineage: Bacteria; Bacillati; Actinomycetota; Actinomycetes; Micrococcales; Microbacteriaceae.